RNAcentral lists this ribosomal RNA (253 nucleotides) under uncultured bacterium. RNAcentral describes it as "partial 16S ribosomal RNA". It matches the Rfam family "Bacterial small subunit ribosomal RNA", at positions 524 to 776 of the family's 1533-position model. The record is from RNAcentral.
GACGUAGAGCGCGAGCGUUGUCCGGAUUUAUUGGGCGUAAAGAGCUCGUAGGCGGCUUGUCGCGUCGAAUGUGAAAUCUCGGGGCUCAACUCCGAGCUUGCAUUCGAUACGGGCAGGCUAGAGUUCGGUAGGGGAGACUGGAAUUCCUGGUGUAGCGGUGAAAUGCGCAGAUAUCAGGAGGAACACCGGUGGCGAAGGCGGGUCUCCGGGCCGAUACUGACGCUGAGGAGCGAAAGCGUGGGGAGCGAACAGG